RNAcentral lists this ribosomal RNA (248 nucleotides) under uncultured bacterium. Its description in RNAcentral is "partial 16S ribosomal RNA". It matches the Rfam family "Bacterial small subunit ribosomal RNA", at positions 57 to 305 of the family's 1533-position model. The record is from RNAcentral.
GCAAGUCGAGCGGAAACGACCUAGCUUGCUAGGGGCGUCGAGCGGCGGACGGGUGAGUAACGCAUAGGAAUCUGCCUAGUAGAGGGGGAUAGCCCGGGGAAACCCGGAUUAAUACCGCAUACGCCCUACGGGGGAAAGCAGGGGAUCUUCGGACCUUGUACUAUUAGAUGAGCCUAUGUCGGAUUAGCUAGUUGGUAAGGUAAUGGCUUACCAAGGCGACGAUCCGUAGCUGGUCUGAGAGGAUGAUC